CCCACCAGGGUCCAUUUCACCAUCUGCCACAGCCGCGAGGCUUCACUUCCACUACUACUACGGUACUACCCCCCGCUGUUCCGCCCGCGCAUCCACCGAUCCGUCUCAGCUCAACACCCCACGCUGCCAGCAACGCAACCCCCGCGUGCAUCUCUCGCGCGCGCGCGUACAUGGCAACAGCGUAGUACUUCGCCACUUGCUGCGGAGACGACGAUGGCGGUGGCGGCGCCGGCGAGGAGGAUGACGCCGUUGACGCUGCGGGACUUCCUGGAGCAGUCCAGCAGCGAAGGCUUCCGCGCCUACCCGCGUUUCCCCGUUGCCGACGAGGGAGUGGCCGGAGGAGACCUCGCGCCGCCGGUGCGCCUCCUCAUCGAGGCCGGGCUACGCCGGAGCCCGUCGCGGUUGCCCUCCUUCUACAACUUCUUCCACAAGAGCCCCGGCACGCUCGCCAAGAUCUCGCGCCUCUCCAGGAGCCUCUCGCGGCGGUUCAGGGACGGCCUCUGGAGGCGCCGCGGCGAGGAUGACGGCGAGGAAGACGACGACAUUGCCGUCGACGAGAGGGACUCGCUCGGGCUGCCGUCGCCGGUGGUCAGCAGCUGCUCCUCGUCGGAGUGUGAGUACAUGGCCGAGUCAGAGGCUGAGCUGGCUACGACGGAGGAGGAGAAGUGCGCGUCGGCGUCGGAGUACGAAAAGACGUCGCAGUCGAGCACGGGGAGCGUCGCCUUCCAUGGCGCUGCCGACGCCGGAGGAGACGGGCAUAAGGAGGAUGUGGGUGACGAGCCCGUGGGGCGCAAGUUGGAGAUGGAGGACAAGCAACAGCUGAGCCCCGUGUCCGUUCUGGAUUUCCCCUUCGAUGACGACGACGGCGAGGAAGGAAGCGAUGCCGGCAUGUGCUCGCCGUCCUUCCAACAGUGCCUCGCCGAGCUCCAGAGAUCGAAGGCGGAGCUGCUGCACAAGAUCCGACGGCUGGAGGGCCUGACGCAGGUGGUCGUCCCCGUGGAUCUCGAGGCGCAAUUCACCGAGUCUGAUUCCUCCGAGCGCACGCAUCUCAACGCCAACUCGACUAGCUCUUCUGAUGACACCGCGACGACGGCGCCCACGACGCCACGGCAAUGCACGGACGACCAAGAUGCCGUUAAUCACGGCGAGGAGGAGGAGGAGGAGGAGGAGCACAGCCUGCUCGCGCGGCUGCUCGAGUCGGUUGUUGUCACGGACGAGGUCUCCGAGUGGCUCCUGCUCGACUUCUUCGCCGAGGGAGUGGACCGGCUCCGGUCGUCGGCGUCCAGCUGCCCUCUCAACGAUUGCGAGGAGGCGGCGCUGCUGCGCGCCGCGGGGGAUUGGGCGCGCGGCGCGGGGCAGCGGUGGGGCGUCGGGGACGUGGUGUUCUCCGGGUGGGCGGCGGUGGCGGACAUGGAGCGGAGCCGGAGGUGGAUGUGCGUCGCCGAGGAGGAGCGGGACGUCGGCGCGGAGGUGGACGGGCUCGUGAUGGACGCGUUGGUGGACGAGCUGGUCGCCGACUUGGCACUUGGUGGUGCGACCACGGUAGGGGUGGAAGUGUGUACGUGCCGCCGAUGAAGUUUCGAGCGUGUCAGGGUGUAACGUUUUGUGUGGACGUUAACUUGAGUGUUAACGUGACAGGGUUUACGCCGAAUCGUUCAAAAACAGGAUGUGUAUGAUGCAAGAGCGGGUGCUUUCAGUCAUGGGCUUUAUGACUUUCUCAGGAUGAAUCAGUACAUAUAGCAGAUUAAUAAUUC
RNAcentral lists this long non-coding RNA (1754 nucleotides) under Oryza sativa Indica Group (long-grained rice). Its description in RNAcentral is "lncRNA OsMH63_03G001460". Lineage: Eukaryota; Viridiplantae; Streptophyta; Magnoliopsida; Poales; Poaceae. The record is from RNAcentral.